RNA transcript from Dreissena polymorpha, 1533 nucleotides. RefSeq lists it as uncharacterized. The transcript has 5 exons. NCBI's taxonomy places the organism in Eukaryota, Metazoa, Mollusca, Bivalvia, Myida, Dreissenidae. The record is from RefSeq and is a predicted model, not a curated record.
UUUGGUUUCGAUUUCAUAUUUGUAUCAAAGACUGAUUUUAAUCAAAUAAAAUCGAAAUUUAAUAUAUUGGUAUCGUAAUUUGGACUGGAUAUAAGGAUUAUUUAUAUUGAAUUUAAAUCUGGAAUAUUUUUCAUCUGAAUUGAUUUCAAUAUAUAUGCUCCUGACAUUUAAAUCUAUUUGUUAAAACAUAUGUGUAAUUAUGGCGUCCGGUGGAAAUAAUGCAAAGGCGAUUAUAUUUUAUGACAGUGAAGGCGCAAACGAAGCGUCUAAAACAGAGGCAGACAAAUUGAGGUUCUUCAUUGAAAAGAAUGGUGGAUACACAUGUCAAACUGACCAUGAAAUAAGAAUACCUGGAACCGAAGUUAUGAAUAACAUUCACCAUUCAAUUAAUCGUUAUGACAGAAUAAUAAUUCUUAUAACAAAUCAAUCUGCUUCAAAAGGAUGGUUCACAUUUGCAGUUUUGUCUGCCUUAGAAAACAUAAUUGUGGAAAAUCACAUGAGACUUUUGGUCGCAUACAAAGGAAAUCGACGUGAAGAUGUUGGGUUUCUGAAAACCGGAUUGCUGUCGUUGACGCCCAAGACGUUUGUCGACCUCACUGAAUGGCAGGGAUAUGAAAGGCUUCUCAAACAACCGAAAACUCCAGUGUGUUUGGACGAAGAAUUACCAGCAGGAAACUUGCAUCUUGGCUUGGUCCAUUCCCACAUAUCCGGUUACAUGUGCUAUGUUGCUGAAGAACAAGAAUUGGUUGGAGAAAUGCGAUGGGUACAGAAAAGAACAAAAAACUACUGAUUGGAAAUUUUCUGUUGGCUGUACCAAAAACCUGCGCUGUCCCACAGCAGCUUCCGUCAAAUUCGGCAUCAGGCAUUGUUAUUUCGAAUGUGGAUACAUUUGAGUUUAAGAGAAUACAUGCGGGUAAAAACACAGAGAUUAUGUUGUUACCAUCAACCAGAUAAAGCACGCGAACAACGAGUUGUACGUUUGUGCCCAGGUACCAACUACGAUAACUGCAAUAUCAAAUCUUGCAAAGCAGCACCUUGGGAAAAUAAAUGUCGCUCUCGAGCACCAGCAUUUCUGUCAAUCAUACCAGCAGAUAAUCGAUGCGAAAGGAUGGGGUGACUUCUUGGAAAUCGUUCCAUGUGAAGAUGAGUGUUUACAUAUCAUGUUUUGAUAUUGAUGGAGAUUCUUGUGAAGAGAUCGAAAAAGAGCUACAAAAACCUCAUAUGAACAUCAUACGACAUGAAAACACACCAGGAAGAUUCCUGCUCUCAGAUGGUGACAAUCGAGAAGGAUGGAUAAUAGUUAUUGUAUCGAAAGAAUCGCUGAAAAGCGAACUGCUUUCUUUCAAUCUCAUAAAAUGCCUGACUGCCGAUGUUGAUGACGGCAGAUUGAGGAUCCUGCUUGUAUUGCGCAGCGGUGUGAAUAUCUCAGAAGUACCAAGAUGUAUUCGUUGGGUUACAGUAUUCAGCGAAGAUGAGAAAUCCUACAAAAACUGGAUUGUAAGAACAGUUUCAGGUAAUUUGCAUCAGUGUAUG